UUUAAGUGUAAUUGUUGGCUUCUGUGUCAAACAUUUGACUAUUCAUCUUAUUUGAAAUUUUUUAUGAUUAGUAUUUUUGUUGUUAUUAGAUGACAAAACAUGAAUAGUACUUUAUGAGUGGCUUUUUUUUUUAAUUUUUUCAUAAAUUUUUCAAAUAAGACGGACGGUUAAAGUUAGACACGGAAACUCACAACUGCUCCUAGA
This is a microRNA precursor of Oryza rufipogon (brownbeard rice), 204 nucleotides long. It matches the Rfam family "MIR812 microRNA precursor family". NCBI's taxonomy places the organism in Eukaryota, Viridiplantae, Streptophyta, Magnoliopsida, Poales, Poaceae. The record is from Rfam.